UUUUCCUACGGGAGGCAGCAGUGGGGGAUAUUGCACAAUGGGGGAAACCCUGAUGCAGCGACGCCGCGUGGGCGAAGAAGUAUUUCGGUAUGUAAAGCUCUAUCAGCAGGGAAGAAAAUGACGGUACCUGACUAAGAAGCCCCGGCUAACUACGUGCCAGCAGCCGCGGUAAUACGUAGGGGGCAAGCGUUAUCCGGAUUUACUGGGGGUAAAGGGAGCGUAGACGGCAGAGCAAGUCUGAAGUGAAAGCCCGCGGCCCAACUGCGGGACUGCUUUGGAAACUGCCCGGCUAGAGUGCUGGAGGG
RNAcentral lists this ribosomal RNA (305 nucleotides) under uncultured bacterium. RNAcentral describes it as "bacterial SSU rRNA". It matches the Rfam family "Bacterial small subunit ribosomal RNA", at positions 334 to 656 of the family's 1533-position model. The record is from RNAcentral.